This 346-nucleotide ribosomal RNA is filed under the name Oxyporus stygicus. RNAcentral describes it as "partial 12S ribosomal RNA". The record is from RNAcentral. Lineage: Eukaryota; Metazoa; Arthropoda; Insecta; Coleoptera; Staphylinidae.
UAAAUUAGUAUUAGUUAUGUUCUUGAAAGUUAAAAAUUUUGGCGGUAUUUUAGUCUUUUCAGAGGAACCUGUCCUAUAAUUGAUAAUCCACGAUUUAUUGUACUUGUUUUAAUUAGUUUGUAUACCGUCGUAGUUUGAAUAUUUUAUAAGAAAAAAAAUAUUCAAAAUUUAUGAUAAUAAAGGAAAUCAGAUCAAGGUACAGCUUAUAGAUAAGAAGAGAUGGGUUACAAUAAAUUUAUUUAAAUGGAUAAAAAAUUGAAAUAUUUUUUUAAAAGUGGAUUUGAAAGUAAUAUAAUUAAAUUAGAUUAUAUGAUUUUAGCUCUAAAAUAUGCACACAUCGCCCGUC